RNAcentral lists this ribosomal RNA (488 nucleotides) under uncultured bacterium. Its description in RNAcentral is "bacterial SSU rRNA". It matches the Rfam family "Bacterial small subunit ribosomal RNA", at positions 29 to 511 of the family's 1533-position model. The record is from RNAcentral.
AUUGAACGCUGGCGGCGUGCCUAACACAUGCAAGUCGAGCGGCAGCGCGGGAGCAAUCCUGGCGGCGAGCGGCGAACGGGUGAGUAAUGCUUCGGAAUCUGCCCAUGUAGUGGGGAAUAACCAGCCGAAAGGUUGGCUAAUACCGCAUACGACCUACGGGUGAAAGCAGGGGAUCGCAAGACCUUGCGCUAUUGGAUGAGCCGAAGUCGGAUUAGCUAGUGGUAGGGUAACGGCCUACCAAGGCGACGAUCCGUAGCUGGUCUGAGAGGACGACCAGCCACACUGGGACUGAGACACGGCCCAGACUCCUACGGGAGGCAGCAGUGGGGAAUAUUGGACAAUGGGGGAAACCCUGAUCCAGCGACGCCGCGUGGGUGAAGAAGGCCUGCGGGUUGUAAAGCCCUUUCAGUGGGGAAGAAAAGCCUCGACCUAACACGUCGGGGUCUUGACGUAACCCAUAGAAGAAGCACCGGCUAACUCUGUGCCAG